RNAcentral lists this ribosomal RNA (447 nucleotides) under uncultured bacterium. Its description in RNAcentral is "partial 16S ribosomal RNA". It matches the Rfam family "Bacterial small subunit ribosomal RNA", at positions 29 to 523 of the family's 1533-position model. The record is from RNAcentral.
AGCGAACGCUGGCGGCAGGCCUAACACAUGCAAGUCGAACGAUCCUUCGGGAUAGUGGCGGACGGGUGAGUAACACGUGGGAACGUGCCUUUUGGUUCGGAACAACUCAGGGAAACUUGAGCUAAUACCGGAUGUGCCCUUCGGGGGAAAGAUUUAUCGCCAUUAGAGCGGCCCGCGUCUGAUUAGCUAGUUGGUGGGGUAAAGGCCUACCAAGGCGACGAUCAGUAGCUGGUCUGAGAGGAUGAUCAGCCACAUUGGGACUGAGACACGGCCCAAACUCCUACGGGAGGCAGCAGUGGGGAAUCUUGCGCAAUGGGCGAAAGCCUGACGCAGCCAUGCCGCGUGAAUGAUGAAGGUCUUAGGAUUGUAAAAUUCUUUCACCGGGGACGAUAAUGACGGUACCCGGAGAAGAAGCCCCGGCUAACUUCGUGCCAGCAGCCGCCGUAA